Molecule: long non-coding RNA, 461 nt
Organism: Anas platyrhynchos (mallard)
Lineage: Eukaryota; Metazoa; Chordata; Aves; Anseriformes; Anatidae
Source: RefSeq, a predicted model, not a curated record
GAGGCCAGGGCUGCAUCUGCUCCUGUGCUGGGGCUGUGCUACGGAACCAGCUGGCUGCUGAGGGAAACGAGUCACAGAGACCGACUGGGAGUGAGCCUUUGUGCCUGGAUCCAGCCACGUAUCCAGACCAGCCCCAACCAGCAGCACAGGAGCGGGACUUUGAGAGAACCAUCAUGUCUGUAGACAAGUCUAGGAGCUCUCCUUCCCUAGGAUUCUCUAAGGAACAGAGAGACAGCACGUGAUGAACCACAGCAUGGGAUGAACCCUUCUUCCAGCACGGAUUUAGGUACUGCCAUGCCACCGGGAAGAAGCACACCCAGCCCUCCUGGGACUUGAGCUUGGGGAACACAACGAUACGCUGUGCCCGCCCCAGGAGAUUAUCUAUCACUCCAUGUGUAAACUGAUGAUAUUGCCAAGAGUGACUUGCACCAGAUGACAACUGAAUAAAGUUUGGAGCUGGG